RNAcentral lists this transfer RNA (77 nucleotides) under Actinomycetes bacterium. RNAcentral's name for it is "tRNA-Lys". It matches the Rfam family "tRNA". From Rfam's summary of the family: Transfer RNA (tRNA) molecules are approximately 80 nucleotides in length. Their secondary structure includes four short double-helical elements and three loops (D, anti-codon, and T loops). Lineage: Bacteria; Bacillati; Actinomycetota; Actinomycetes. The record is from RNAcentral.
UGCCUCCGUGGCGGAAUUGGUUAACGCGCUCGCCUUUUAAGCGAUGAGAUUCCGGGUUCAAGUCCCGGCGGAGGCAU